UACGUAGGGUGCAAGCGUUGUCCGGAAUUAUUGGGCGUAAAGAGCUCGUAGGUGGCCUGUCGCGUCGGCUGUGAAAACUCGGGGCUCAACUCCGAGCUUGCAGUCGAUACGGGCAGGCUAGAGUUCGGCAGGGGAGACUGGAAUUCCUGGUGUAGCGGUGAAAUGCGCAGAUAUCGGGAGGAACACCAGUGGCGAAGGCGACUUCCUGGCCUGUUCUUGACGCUGAGGCGCGAAAGCUGGGGGAGCAAACGGG
This 253-nucleotide ribosomal RNA is filed under the name uncultured bacterium. RNAcentral describes it as "partial 16S ribosomal RNA". It matches the Rfam family "Bacterial small subunit ribosomal RNA", at positions 524 to 776 of the family's 1533-position model. The record is from RNAcentral.